UGCUUAGAGUAAAUUCAAAUUUAAUUAGGAUUCUUUUUUUUUAUAUCAUUCUGGGGACCCCAAAAGGACGAGGGGGCGGAACCACGCCCCAGUGGACUUAAUGUAAAUGAAAAUUGACGCAAGGCAAGUUUAUUAAAAUGCGAUUUGCAUAAGCAUAUGGAAGGAGCGAAGGUGAGAGAGCAAUGAAUGUAUUUCAAGGGACAGAGGACACUCGCUGGAGCUCCGGAAUGAAAAUUCCCACCACCCCUCCACACCUCCCUGCACACUCGCAUUGGAAAACCCAAUUAAAAGUGGCCCAAAGUGGAACUCGUCCAUCUCAACAGGUGACAUUAAAGGAGUCCAUUCGCUAAGGUAACCAGUUUCCCAUUUUCACCCAUCUAAAUUGAGAAAAUCUCCUCAGACAGAUGGAAAUUGAUAAACCCAUUCGCUGUUGUCUGUAUUAAUUAAACGGCCAAGUUGUUGAGCAGGACUUUCGGGGGGCAGCUCACGAUUCCCAUCGAGUUUGGCAUAGUUUCCUUGAAGGGACAUUAUUCACUUAACGCCAGCACUUGGCAUACCCCACACCGCGGGGUGGCAAACUAUUGUCGUGGCGCUGUCAUUGCCGCAUCCUCUUGAAAGGAUUUCAAUGUCAAACCGCAACUGUAACCAGUUCUUGGUCCAUUACAUUAACCCACUGGCGCAUCAAGUUUACCGCCGGCGACCACAAAAAGCGACGAAAAUGAAAAUUCAUGAAAGUUUAUCGCACCGCCCUCCCAAGUGGGUCCAGGAGCAGGACACAGGAUCCGGAGACACGGAUACGAGAGAGGCUGUAGCCAACCAUUCGCUCCACUUUUGUGGUCAAUUAACGGCCCUCGGCCGGCCUCGAGUUUGUUUUUGUGUAAUGAAUUUAAAUGACCCACUGCGCCGGCUCAUCAAGUGCUGCAAAGUGUUUUCCAACAGGACGCGGAAGGACAUCAGCAGGACGCGGACUCCUUCCUCAGCAGUUUAAGCCCGUCCAGAUCCCGCUCGCUCUCUCCCUGUGACAGCACCUGUCGCCGAAAAAUUUCCAACAAUUUGGCUAAUGACCUUCUAUGGCGCUUAGAUGGAGUUGGACAGAGUUGCUAAAUAAAUACAUAUAUUAUGGCAAAAAUUUAGCUAUUUUAUAC
Drosophila serrata is the source of this 1145-nucleotide long non-coding RNA. RefSeq lists it as uncharacterized. NCBI's taxonomy places the organism in Eukaryota, Metazoa, Arthropoda, Insecta, Diptera, Drosophilidae. The record is from RefSeq and is a predicted model, not a curated record.